ACCGCCGUCAACGUCAACAGAGGGUGCAAAACACGCUGUUGCUCCAUGUGUGCCGCUUGCUUGCGCCAUUCCCCUCCCCGCCACGCCAGAGCAUUGGCUCGUAGUCCUGCAUCCCAGCAGAUGACUGCAAGGAUUUACCCCAGCUCCAGCCCCUUUGUGUAAUAACCUACUUUAUAACUUCUACUCUUCCACUGUGCCUCGGUAUUGGUAUGGAGCAGAAUCCAACUCAAACCAAACCGUUAUUUCAAGAGCACGCCUAGUAAGUUCCCCUGGUAGUUUAUAACUGUUAUUUUGCUAAUGGAAAGUUAAUCAUUGGCUUGAAACUGUGCAAAAAUGUUAAGGGAAAGAAUCACAAGAUCACAGGAAGAACUCUAAUAUGCUCUCAAGUAGGUCUCUCUUAUUUGCCUCUGCAGACUUCAGCUCUAAAUACCUCAGGGUGAAAUGUGUCUGAGCAUUUCAACACCUAGCAAAUAUUAACUACCUCAGAACAGAUUAGAACAACAAGGCUUGGAGGGUGCCUUUAUGCUGCAGCCUGUGAAGAUGAAAAGUCUCAAACCCGAGGUCUGUGGAAACUUUCACUUUUAAGUUCUGCCCUUCAUUUCUGUAAUUUUGUAAAAGACUAGCACUGGCACUGAAUAAUACUAACAGAAAAACACUUAGAACACGCAGGGACCUUAAAGUGCUUGACAAACAUUAUUUCAUUAAGCCUGUUGAUGCCCUUUCAAGGUAGUUAUGGCAUUGUAAUAGUCUUCCCACUUUUAGAAAUGGGAAAAUUAAGGAUUCUCACAGUGUAAUGCAGAGCCAACUGACUUGCGAUGUCAAUCAAUUUUCUGAAGAUCCUCUCAUCUCCACUGAACAGUUUGUGUGCGGUACAGAGGCGUCCAUCUGCAUUCUCUAGUUGGCUAAGCUAAGCAUACUGUUAGCCAAGCUGUUUGUAAAAAAAAAAAAAAAAAAAAAAAAAAAAAAAAAAAGUCUGCAUUCAAUAACGCUGAGCACUUUUCUUUCUGAACUCUCUUUUUGCUGCUCAAAAGCAACAUUGUGGUCACUGCCUACUGGAAGUAAGCUCGGUAAUCUGAAUGGCAACCACCAUUUCAGGAAGCCAAAAAGUUGCUGUGGUGCUGACCAAAGAGGUUGUUGUGUCUCAUAUGCCAUGAUUACCACCUCUGACCUGCCAGUGCAGAUCAGGUAGGUCCCUCUAAUCUCUUUCCACCUAAAGGAGC
RNAcentral lists this long non-coding RNA (1220 nucleotides) under Dromaius novaehollandiae (emu). RNAcentral's name for it is "lncRNA (ENSDNVG00000007799.1)". Lineage: Eukaryota; Metazoa; Chordata; Aves; Casuariiformes; Dromaiidae. The record is from RNAcentral.